Molecule: ribosomal RNA, 253 nt
Filed under: uncultured bacterium
Lineage: Bacteria
Description: partial 16S ribosomal RNA
Rfam family: Bacterial small subunit ribosomal RNA
Source: RNAcentral
UACGUAGGGUGCAAGCGUUGUCCGGAAUUAUUGGGCGUAAAGAGCUCGUAGGCGGUUUGUCGCGUCUGCUGUGAAAACUCGGGGCUUAACUCCGGGCCUGCAGUGGGUACGGGCAGACUAGAGUGCGGUAGGGGAGACUGGAAUUCCUGGUGUAGCGGUGAAAUGCGUAGAGAUCCGGAGGAACACCAGAGGCGAAGGCGGCCUACUGGGCCAGUACUGACGCUGAGCCGCGAAAGCCAGGGGAGCGAACGGG